UGGGGAAUUUUGGACAAUGGGGGCAACCCUGAUCCAGCCAUGCCGCGUGAGUGAAGAAGGCCUUCGGGUUGUAAAGCUCUUUCGGCCGGGAAGAAAUCGCAUGGGUUAAUACCCUGUGCGGAUGACGGUACCGGCAUAAGAAGCACCGGCUAACUACGUGCCAGCAGCCGCGGUAAUACGUAGGGUGCGAGCGUUAAUCGGAAUUACUGGGCGUAAAGCGUGCGCAGGCGGUUUUGUAAGACAGGCGUGAAAUCCCCGGGCUCAACCUGGGAACUGCGCUUGUGACUGCAAGGCUAGAGUACGGCAGAGGGGGGUGGAAUUCCACGUGUAGCAGUGAAAUGCGUAGAGAUGUGGAGGAACACCAAUGGCGAAGGCAGCCCCCUGGGUCGAUACUGACGCUCAUGCACGAAAGCGUGGGUAGCAAACAGGAUUAGAUACCCUGGUAGUCCACGCCCUAAACGAUGUCAACUAGGUGUUGGGUGGGUAAAACCAUUUAGUACCGUAGCUAACGCGUGAAGUUGACCGCCUGGGGAGUACGGCCGCAAGGUU
Molecule: ribosomal RNA, 549 nt
Filed under: uncultured Dechloromonas sp.
Lineage: Bacteria; Pseudomonadati; Pseudomonadota; Betaproteobacteria; Rhodocyclales; Azonexaceae
Description: bacterial SSU rRNA
Rfam family: Bacterial small subunit ribosomal RNA
Source: RNAcentral